CGAGAGCACGACAUCUUCUCUGGCGAUUUUGAUCUCCAUCUUCAUCAUCCAAUCUCGAUCACUCCGCUUCUCUGGCGAUUUCGAUCUUCAUCUUCCUCAUCCAAUCUCGAUCACUCCAUCUUCUCUGUCCGGAUUGAAAGACGAAUCUGUUUUGUCUGGAGGAGAUCAAUGACUCAAGACCAAUCGUUUUGGUCAGGAACGGAGAUGGGAUUGAUUCGACUGUGCUCCUCAAACGGAUAAAUCGGUUUUUUCUCAUUCUAUGACUCCUGGAGAAAUCAUUGCUGUGAGUUCCGCCAGUAUCAAAGGUGCCACAGCCUUUGAAGUUUCAGAACUAGAGGCGAUGGAAAUUGCUUCUUCCGAAGCUUCAUGUUCUCUUACCUUAAGCAUAUUUUGGAAUCACAAGAUCGUGGUGAAGUUGAUCGUGAGAUGUCUCUUCUCAUAUUAUAUCAUUUUUUUUCUUGCAGCUACGAAGAGCUGGUUAACAGAAAUAGAGAUCAGUCUGUCUCUGACUACAUUGUAAUGUUCUUCUGGUUUGUUACUGCUGGUGAAGUACGAACUCGUGCAGAGUUCUUCAAACCUUUUAUAACAGGAUUAUCAAACUCAACGGUUGAUCAGUGAACCGCUAUUAAGGGUGGUAGCGGGAAACAAGUUAGCACCUGAGUUUGGUAGAAAUCAGUUUUCGAUGAUCAAAGGAAACGGAACCCUAAGUUUCAAAAUGAUUAACAAGUAAAACAAGAUAGCUAAAGUGAAUUUCGGUGAGCUAAACAAGGAAGCACAAGAAGAAAGAAAACAUAGAGUGGGGCUACCACAAACAUAAAAAGGAACUAAAGUGCGUACUAAGUGAAACCGGUAAGUGCACCAUUAGUGCUAAAAAAGGAAGCAAUUAUGAAGUGAUUCACUCUCAUGCAAGUUUGCGAUAAUGAUACAGUUCAUACAUAUAUAUAUAAAAUAUGGCUCAAUUUCAAUAUAUAUUCACCAACCGAGAUUACACGAUUAACCUUACAAAGAGAUUUUGACCACAAUUACAAAGAUAU
RNA transcript from Brassica oleracea var. oleracea, 1034 nucleotides. It is a transcript of the gene named ubiquitin thioesterase otubain-like, with no coding region annotated. Lineage: Eukaryota; Viridiplantae; Streptophyta; Magnoliopsida; Brassicales; Brassicaceae. The transcript has 6 exons. The record is from RefSeq and is a predicted model, not a curated record.